RNAcentral lists this long non-coding RNA (2334 nucleotides) under Homo sapiens (human). RNAcentral's name for it is "HSALNT0318709". The record is from RNAcentral. Lineage: Eukaryota; Metazoa; Chordata; Mammalia; Primates; Hominidae.
CUCUUCAAGCAAAAAGACUUAGCAAUUUUGGGAACUCUUCAAAUACCACCAUUCCAGUGAACCCCAUUGCCCUUAGGAUAAAAUCUGCAAUCCUUCACAAGCCUUUGAGGCCCUGCGUGAUGGGGUCCUACCUGCCUCUCCAGCUCCGGCUCCUGCCACUGGCCCCCAAACCUCCUGCACUCAACCACAAUGGCCACCACUCUGGUUUCUGACUGCCCCAAUUUCCUCUCCACCUUCAGCCUUUGCUUGUGCUGCGCCCUCCCCCUGGGGCUCUUCCUCUCUCUUUACCUGGCAAUCCUCCUUAUCCUUGUUCCAGGUUGAAUGUCAUCGGCAAAGAUCAGGCAAGCUCCUCCAUUAUGAUCUUCUGGGAUCAUAAGAUCAUUAAGAACUUCAUUACAGGUCUUAGCACAAGCGUGAAUAAUUACUAUUGCUUUAAAAUUGUGCUCCCCCACUGGCAGGGACUUUGUCUAUCAUAUACACCUAGCACUUAGUGCAAUGCUGAAUAUUUCGUAGGUCAAAUGCACAAAUGAAUGAAGUAGGUGCACAAAAGAUAUUGACUGCCUAUGAGAGAAUCUAACAAAGCAAACCCAGUAAAACAAAAUCUUCAUCUUAAAUGUGCACAAACUAGGGAGUGAGUAUUCUCUCCUACCUCUCCUCUCCAAUCAUUCUGGCACAAGGAUUUCAGAUGGUCCUGCCUUCCCAUCAGGGCUGUACCAUCAAAUCUACUGCCUGGCUUUCAGGACCCUCCCUUAUCAUUAUCAUCAUCAUGAACAUUAUUGAACAUGUAAUAUGUUCCAUGUGCAUUACUCAGUAUUCUCUACUGAUCUAUUUUGAUCCUCACUGCAAUCCAUAAAAUAGUGCAGUGUAUUAAAGAUGGGCACAGAUGCAUAAAUUCUUUGACAUUUCUCUCAUUGAGAGGUGGGGUCUUUGUCCCCUCCCCUUGAAUCUGAGCUAUCAUGUGACUGCUUUGACCAAUAGAGUGCACAGGAAAUCAUGUCAUGCCUUUUCCAGUUUCUGUGUCGGAAUGGUCACUCUGGGGGAAGACUGCUUACAACUAAUGACUAACACCUAAUUGGCACAAAGAAUGUAAGAAGUCUGACUCCCCUGAGACUGCAGGGAGGAAACUCGAGCUGGUUGCAGGGAGAGGUCCUGGGGAAAGAAUGCCCUUCCAGCCCCCAGCUGUUGCAACCAUGCCAGCCCGGGUGCCAGGCACGUACAUGAAGGCACUAUCUUGCACAUCCAGCCCAGUGGAGCCUUCAGCUGACUCCAGCCCCAGCCACAGGAGAAGCUCCAUGACAGACCACUCAGCUGACCCCAGUUAACCCCCAAAAUUGUAAGAGAGAAUAACAAAUUAGUAUUUUAAGCCACUAGAUUGUGGGGAGGAUUAUUAGGCAGCAAUAAAUAGCCAAAACACAUAGGCACUAUUAUGACCCUGGCUUUAUAAAUGAGAAACUGAGACCCAGCACACUCAAAACCACACAGCUGGGAAGGGGUGGAGCUGGGAGCCCAAUCCAGGAAGGCUGGCUUCAGAACCCAGGCUUUCAUCAUCCAUGCAGCCACACCACUCUUUGGCAGGCAACUUUUUCCAUUUGACUCCUCCAAGACAUAGUCUCUACUGCUGUUGUGCCUCUAAAAGGGUCCCCUUCUCUUUCCUUCUGCCCAUGUGCCUAAUCCCCUACCUCUAUCAUGAUCCCCUCUCUGAAUCCUCUACUGAUAUGCCCUUCCUCCAAAUUCCUGGGUACAUUUAAAGAUAGGCAUCUAGCCUUACCAUUCAUUGUUCUAGUAAUAUUCUUCAUGCUGUUUUUUGCUUCACAACUAUACGUUAUCUCCUUAAAGGUCAAGACUAAAUCUCCUAUUUUGAUUUUGCCCACCUCUCCAGAAAACCUUGCCCAUCCCCACUUUGCCCAGCACAAUGCUGUGCACUCAAUAAAUGCACCCUCCAGCCAUACUGGCCAAGCUCAUUCCCUUUUCAGAGCCUUUAUGUUUGCAGUUCCCUUUCCCUGGAAUACGCUUUCUUAGCUUUCAACCUGAGCUGCUCCUUCACAGCACUCAGAUCUCAGAAAAUAUCUCCCCUCCACCAACAGGCCUAUCCUGACCACCCUGUCUAAAGGAGCCACGCCUCCCCACCCCUAGUCAGCCACUCACCAUCUCCUUAUCCUGCAUUGUAUUAAUUAGUUGUCAGUUUCUUAAUUCCCUUAGGUAGCAAACAAGUUCCAGAAGGACAGAACAUGCCCAUCUUGUUUAUUGCUAUAGUCUCAAUCCCCAGGACAGUUUCUGGCCUAUAGUAACAUCUCAAAAAAUAUUGUUAAAUAAAUGAAUGCAUAUUUGUUGAUU